UACAGAGGUCUCAAGCGUUGUUCGGAUUUAUUGGGCGUAAAGGGCGCGUAGGCGGCGGGGUAAGUCGGGUGUGAAAUCUCAGGGCUCAACCCUGAAACUGCACUUGAUACUGCUCUGCUUGAGGGCUGGAGAGGAGAUUGGAAUUCACGGUGUAGCAGUGAAAUGCGUAGAGAUCGUGAGGAAGACCAGUGGCGAAGGCGGAUCUCUGGACAGUUCCUGACGCUGAGGCGCGAAGGCCAGGGGAGCAAACGGG
RNAcentral lists this ribosomal RNA (253 nucleotides) under uncultured bacterium. RNAcentral describes it as "partial 16S ribosomal RNA". It matches the Rfam family "Bacterial small subunit ribosomal RNA", at positions 524 to 776 of the family's 1533-position model. The record is from RNAcentral.